Pimephales promelas (fathead minnow) is the source of this 563-nucleotide non-coding RNA. Lineage: Eukaryota; Metazoa; Chordata; Actinopteri; Cypriniformes; Leuciscidae. The record is from RefSeq and is a predicted model, not a curated record.
CGAACGCCAGAGAGAAGGAGAACAGCACCUGAGCUCCAGCGUCCAGCCACGUCGUGGGGUUUAUCAGCUCAUUCACCUGGAAACAGGUGAGAAGCAGCAGUGUGCAUGAUGAGUGUGUGUGUGUCACCUCCUCCGUGGCUCUGGCACAGGUACGGGAACCUCCAGACGUUGCCCAGCCCCACACAGAAGCCCACACAGGUCAGCAUGUACUGGGUCUUGUUGUCCCACUGCGGGCGUUCUCCAGCCUCCUCCAGCUCCAGCUUCUCCAGCUCGGCGUGAGAGGGAAUCCGCUCAUCCAGACCCGGGUUCGGGAGCUUCAGCCGCAGACGCAUCCUCACACUGCAGGGGUGGCGAUAGUGUGUGUGUGUGUGUGUGAUGGUGAAGCGCUCUCGGAGACGAGGACGAGAGAAGAGAUGCAGUGAUGACAGGAGAUGCCCAUAAAUACUGCAGCGACUUAAGACGUGGUGAUCUUUAGCACUGACACCCCUCCCACACACACACACGCGCGGUUGUGGGAUCAAGGUUUGACAUUCUUAUAUCUGUUCAUUCUUGCAUUUUUUAAA